CACACAGACUAUUAUUCGAACUCACUGACUCGAGAAUGGUAGAGGUAACUGGAAUUUCUUGUGUAGGAGUGAAAUCCGUAGAUAUAAGAAGGAACACCAAUGGCGUAGGCAGGUUACUGGACCAUUUCUGACACUGAGGCACGAAAGCGUGGGGAGCGAACCGGAUUAGAUACCCGGGUAGUCCACGCCGUAAACGAUGGAUACUAGCUGUUGGAGGUAUCGACCCCUCCAGUAGCGAAGCUAACGCGUUAAGUAUCCCGCCUGUGGAGUACGGUCGCAAGACUAAAACAUAAAGGAAUUGACGGGGACCCGCACAAGCGGUGGAUCGUGUUCUUUAAUUCGAUGCUAAACGAAGAACCUUACCAGGGCUUGACAUCCAGGGAAGCACUGCGAAAGCAGCGUGUGCCUUUUGGAACCCUGUGACAGAUGAUGCAUGGCCGUCGUCAGCUCGUGUCGUGAGAUGUUUGGUUAAGUCCAUCAACGAGCGCAACCCUUGUGAAUAGUUGUAUUUUUCUAUUCAGACUGCCCCGGCAACGGGGAGGAAGGAGGGGAUGAGGUCAGGUCUGUAUUUCUCUUACGUCCUGGGCUGGAAACACGAUACAAUGGCUAGUACAAUGCGCAGCGAAGCCGCGAGGUGGAGCAAAUCGCAUCAAAGCUAGUCCCAGUUCGGAUAAGAGGCUGAAACUCGCCUCUUUGAAGUCGGAAUCGCUAGUAAUCGCAAGUCAGCAAAUUGCGGUGAAUACGUUCCCGGGUCUUGUACACACCGCCCGUCAAACCAUGAAAGUGACCAACACCCGAAGUCCGAUUCGUCGGCCUAAGGUGGGGGGCAUGAUUGGGGUUAAGUCGUAACAAGGUAACC
RNAcentral lists this ribosomal RNA (859 nucleotides) under uncultured bacterium. RNAcentral describes it as "bacterial SSU rRNA". It matches the Rfam family "Bacterial small subunit ribosomal RNA", at positions 613 to 1501 of the family's 1533-position model. The record is from RNAcentral.